Molecule: unclassified non-coding RNA, 1352 nt
Filed under: Hevea brasiliensis (rubber tree)
Lineage: Eukaryota; Viridiplantae; Streptophyta; Magnoliopsida; Malpighiales; Euphorbiaceae
Source: RNAcentral
CUGAACAGGGCAAGUGAGGAGCAAGCACAAGUUGGGAUCAUUUAGCCAUAGAGUUUUAAUCCGUAAAGCAAAAUUAAUCAAAUUUAAUUAAUUAUUUUUUUAAUGAGAUCAUUUUAUCAAUUCUUUGAAUAAUUUGCACUUGGAGGCUACAUCUCACAGGAUUGAUGGCUUCAUUGCAAUUUGGGCUAAGAUUACUUUUUUCUUUUCUUUUCUAUUUCUCUUCCUUUUCUUCUUGAAGUGAUCAGUAAUAAACAAAAACAAGCAAAAACUCAUUAAAUGGAUUUCUUUCUUUGUAUUGUUUCAGUGCACUAGUUUUGUGUGUGUAAAAUGGGGAAGAUGAGAUGAGGUGAGAAGAGAGUGAUGGUGAUGCAAUGAAAGAUUUGGAGAAGACGGAUGAAAAGCAAGGGCAAUAAGGUCAUUUCAUCUUCAACUGACAACACUUUUUGACAAAAAGACCUUCAUUUUGACAGAAUGAAACUAUAGAGACCAAACCAUUGACUUUUAAAGGAUAUAUAUGUCAUUUUUGACAUACCUCAGGGACUAAAAAGUAAUUUACCUAAAAAAAUUUAAAAAAGAAAGUUUCCACAUGCCUAAAGCUAAACAAAACCAAAUGACUGUUAUUGUUGUGCAUAAAUAUGCAUUUUCUACUCCUAUUUCACUUUUUCCCCUAAGCUAACAAUGAACUUACGACACAGUUAGAAGGUAUCUUCUUCCACCAACACUCUUUUCCCUCUUCCUUCUUAUCUUUUUCUUUAUUUUCUCCAUUAAGUACAGCUAAUUAGCUAUUGUUGUCACAUCACAACAUUUUAUGCCCAUCUUAUAUGGGCCAUCUAUUGUGAUUUUCAGCCAUACUUUUUUCACCUUUUAUUUUUAGGUCCUAUUGUGAACAUGGUAUAGCCACAAGUCAUCAAAACUAAGGGUUGGCUUCAUGAAGCAAACAGAUCAUUCAUAGAUAAACAAACAGUAUAGGUUUUCAACUUUUAUGGCAUAUGGCUAGAUGAUAUGGAACAUAAAUAUUUUAAUAAAACGAAUACAACAUGGUAAUACAUUAUUUUAUGUUUUUUUAAUUCAUAUAUGCAUUUGUAUUCUAGAAGAAUGGAUCACGGUAGGGUUUGGACUUACAUUUCCUUUAGAAUCAAGCACAAGUCUAAUUGGCCAUAUGAUCACUCUGUCUCAUAUUUUGUGUGUUUUAAUAGAUAUACAUCGUUCUUAAUCAAUUUUGAGAAUUCAUACCAAAUCUAACAAUAUGAUUCAAUUCUUGAUUCACAAAAUAAGGAUUUUAAAACUUGAUUUGACAAAUAUGGUUCUAACUAUCACUUUUAAAUAGGGGCGAGAGAGAGAGAGAGAGAGAG